Mugil cephalus (flathead mullet) is the source of this 394-nucleotide long non-coding RNA. RefSeq lists it as uncharacterized. The transcript is spliced from 3 exons. NCBI's taxonomy places the organism in Eukaryota, Metazoa, Chordata, Actinopteri, Mugiliformes, Mugilidae. The record is from RefSeq and is a predicted model, not a curated record.
CUGGAUCCCCCCAAAGGUUGUUCAAUGCAGUUGCCCACACCAGAGUGAAGAUGUACCUGGAGGUCCCUGUGGGAGUCCCAACCGUGGAGACGUGCUGCCUCAGGGGGGUGACCUUCCUGCUGUGAUGAUGCGCUGAAACUGGAGGCUGGGAGAGACUGGACACCCAGAGGAGACCAACACUCAUCUGACCAGAAAGUAGAGGAUGGAGGUUGGAUGGCCCAGGGAGCUGGGUACAGUCUUUGCCCCCAUAGCGAGGAGAGAUGCAGCCUCUGUGUCUGACCUGCACUCCACCACAACCGCUGGAACAGUUGGACCAGCUCACCCAUGGCAGCCACCGUCCAUCCACUGCAGAGAAGGAGAGCAAUUUUAGAGACACACCGGUUAAAAUGUGAUG